Molecule: unclassified non-coding RNA, 423 nt
Filed under: uncultured Sebacinaceae
Lineage: Eukaryota; Fungi; Basidiomycota; Agaricomycetes; Sebacinales; Sebacinaceae
Description: sequence contains ITS2
Rfam family: 5.8S ribosomal RNA (bases 1-154)
Source: RNAcentral
AAUUUUUAACAAUGGAUCUCUUGGCUCUCGCAUCGAUGAAGAACGCAGCGAAAUGCGAUAAGUAAUGUGAAUUGCAGAAUUCAGUGAAUCAUCGAAUCUUUGAACGCACCUUGCACCCUUUGGAAUUCCGAAGGGUAUGCUCGUUUGAGUGCCAUUGUACUCUCACACUCCUCUGAUCCUUUGGAUUCGGGGAGCGGUGGACUUGGGUGUUUGCUGCUUUCCUUGUGGCUCACCUUAAAUGCGUCAGUGCACCUCUUGGUUGGACAUAGUACGGCGUGAUAAGUGUCUUCGCCGGCACCUCGCAAGAGGGUGGCCGAUCGAGAGCUCUGUGCUUUCAAACCGUCUUCGGACACUUUCUGACAACUUGACCUCAAAUCGAGUAGGACUACCCGCUGAACUUAAGCAUAUCAAUAAGCGGAGGCU